UUCUCCUUUUCCUGAAUAGUAUCCUUGGGAAGCCAUGGGGUCAAGGUAUAUGCAUGCAUAUAUUUAAGACUUUUGAAGCACGGGCCCAUAUUGACUUUGAGAAGAGAUUUUAUAGGAUGGGAAAUUGAGAUUGCAACUAAACUGUAAGAGCCUGAAUACAGCUCCAGAGGUUUAUUCAGUUACUGACGGGAUUUUGAGGUCUCCA
This 205-nucleotide long non-coding RNA is filed under the name Vulpes vulpes (red fox). Its description in RNAcentral is "lncRNA (ENSVVUG00000023031.1)". Lineage: Eukaryota; Metazoa; Chordata; Mammalia; Carnivora; Canidae. The record is from RNAcentral.